CAGUCCGAAACGGCUGCUAAUACCGAAUACGUUCUCUUUAUCGCAUGGUAGAGGGAAGAAAGGGGAGCUCUUCGGAGCUUUGCUGAAGGAGGGGCUUGCGUCUGAUUAGCUAGUUGGAGGGGUUAACGGCCCACCAAGGCGACGAUCAGUAGCCGGUCUUGAGAGGAUGAACGGCCACAUUGGGACUGAGACACGGCCCAGACUCCUACGGGAGGCAGCAGUGGGGAAUCUUCCGCAAUGGACGAAAGUCUGACGGAGCAACGCCGCGUGAACGAUGACGGCCUUCGGGUUGUAAAGUUCUGUUAUACGGGACGAAUGGCGUAGCGGUCAAUACCCGUUACGAGUGACGGUACCGUAAGAGAAAGCCACGGCUAACUACGUG
Molecule: ribosomal RNA, 382 nt
Filed under: uncultured bacterium
Lineage: Bacteria
Description: bacterial SSU rRNA
Rfam family: Bacterial small subunit ribosomal RNA
Source: RNAcentral